AGUUAGUGGCGGACGGGUGAGUAACACGUGGGUAACCUGCCUCACAGCUGGGGAUAACAUCGAGAAAUCGAUGCUAAUACCGAAUGUGCUGAACAUCAUAAGAUGUUCAAGUGAAAGACGGUUUCGGCUGUCACUGUGAGAUGGACCCGCGCUGGAUUAGCUAGUUGGUAAGGUAAUGGCUUACCAAGGCGACGAUCCAUAGCCGACCUGAGAGGGUGAUCGGCCACAUUGGGACUGAGACACGGCCCAAACUCCUACGGGAGGCAGCAGUAGGGAAUCUUCGGCAAUGGACGAAAGUCUGACCGAGCAACGCCGCGUGAGCGAAGAAGGCCUUCGGGUCGUAAAGCUCUGUUGUUAGAGAAGAACAUGGGUGAGAGUAACUGUUCACCCCUUGACGGUAUCUAACCAGAAAGCCACGGCUAACUACGUGCCAGCAGCCGCGGUAAUACGUAGGUGGCAAGCGUUGUCCGGAAUUAUUGGGCGUAAAGCGCGCGCAGGCGGUCUCUUAAGUCUGAUGUGAAAGCCCCCGGCUCAACCGGGGAGGGUCAUUGGAAACUGGGAGACUUGAGGACAGAAGAGGAGAGUGGAAUUCCAAGUGUAGCGGUGAAAUGCGUAGAUAUUUGGAG
RNAcentral lists this ribosomal RNA (626 nucleotides) under Brochothrix sp. RNAcentral describes it as "bacterial SSU rRNA". It matches the Rfam family "Bacterial small subunit ribosomal RNA", at positions 90 to 703 of the family's 1533-position model. Lineage: Bacteria; Bacillati; Bacillota; Bacilli; Caryophanales; Listeriaceae. The record is from RNAcentral.